UGGUUUAAUUCGAAGCAAACGCGAAGAACCUUACCAAAUCUUGACAUCCUUUGACAACUCUAGAGAUAGAGCUUUCCCCUUCGGGGGACAAAGUGACAGGUGGUGCAUGGUUGUCGUCAGCUCGUGUCGUGAGAUGUUGGGUUAAGUCCCGCAACGAGCGCAACCCUUAAGCUUAGUUGCCAUCAUUAAGUUGGGCACUCUAAGUUGACUGCCGGUGACAAACCGGA
Molecule: ribosomal RNA, 227 nt
Filed under: uncultured bacterium
Lineage: Bacteria
Description: partial 16S ribosomal RNA
Rfam family: Bacterial small subunit ribosomal RNA
Source: RNAcentral